AUGCGAUGAAGAGACUGAUGAUCACGAAAACCCUGACGUCUUAUCAUUGACACCUAAAGACCCAUCGGAUUCCGAAUCGUUAGGAAAACGGGGUCGUCGAUGAGUGUGGGCGAGCGACUAAUCUUCUCUCUGAGCAUU
Molecule: small nucleolar RNA, 138 nt
Filed under: Caenorhabditis brenneri
Lineage: Eukaryota; Metazoa; Nematoda; Chromadorea; Rhabditida; Rhabditidae
Source: RNAcentral